UACAGAGGGGGCAAGCGUUAUUCGGAAUUAUUGGGCGUAAAGAGCGUGUAGGCGGCCAUUUAAGUCCUGCGUGAAAUCCUGCGGCUCAACCGCAGACGGUCGUGGGAAACUGGAUGGCUAGAGUGCGGGAGAGGAGAGUGGAAUUCCCGGUGUAGCGGUGAAAUGCGCAGAUAUCGGGAAGAACACCCGUGGCGAAGGCGGCUCUCUGGAACGCAACUGACGCUGAGACGCGAAAGCGUGGGGAGCAAACAGG
Molecule: ribosomal RNA, 253 nt
Filed under: uncultured bacterium
Lineage: Bacteria
Description: partial 16S ribosomal RNA
Rfam family: Bacterial small subunit ribosomal RNA
Source: RNAcentral